UAUAAAAAAAAAUAAAAUUAAAUUAAAUCUACAACGUUUUUCAUUAAAUUGACUAGGCACAAAGGAAUGCAUUAAUCAAGAAAUUUCUACGCAGUUUCACUGAUCUUGAAACAGAAGAAAAAAGGAUCGGAGAUACAGAUAGUUACAUGAUUUUCAUGCACGCACUCUCACGACGUGGAAGCAUACAAACACCCACGAUGAACAAAAGAAAACAAAGAGUGAAAGAUAAGUCAUCUGAAUAGUUAAAAGCUUAGGAGAGAUGACAUAGAUAUUGAGAUAAGCCAAAACAGAUAGAGACAAUAUAUAUCUAUAUAUCUAUAUAUUAAGUGAAUUCCUUGGAAAUGUUUGUCACUUAUGGUGUCUCAAACAGAAACUAGUUGGUUUGGUUCUGUUUGUGUUUGUGCUUGCAAAUUCCUCUCCCUAUCUACUUGAUUCCUUUAAUCUUAUCUUACUAGGGGAAAAAAAAAAAAACAAAUAGGGUUAAUUGAGGCACUGCAAUUAUAUAUAUAGACGUACACAGACGGAUACUGAGACAUGGAGCGUGGGGUGUUCUCCUUUACACGACCUUUUUAGUAUCCAUGUGCCUUCAUCACCUUCAACCUAGGUAGUGGAUCGUCUCACAUGAAAGACAAACAGCUAAAAAGUAUGGUGAUCUUCUGACCUAGGAGUGCAUGAGUUCUCUCAAAAACGGGGUGAAGGAAGAAGGAGAAGCACCUACAGAGCGUGCGGCUUUCCUGCAUGUGUCACCAUCUGGCUGCAAAAACAUGGAGCUUUAGUGAUAUCUUCUGUUCUGAAGCACUACUGGAGAGUAAAACAAACAAAAAGUGACCAAAA
RNAcentral lists this long non-coding RNA (834 nucleotides) under Populus trichocarpa (black cottonwood). RNAcentral's name for it is "long non-coding RNA (PTRI_LNC003414)". The record is from RNAcentral. Lineage: Eukaryota; Viridiplantae; Streptophyta; Magnoliopsida; Malpighiales; Salicaceae.